AGGUCCAUCCAGUCGCAAGACUGGGGAAGACCUAGCGGCGAACGGGUGAGUAACACGUGAGCAACCUGUCCCGAAGACUGGGAUAACACCGGGAAACCGGUGCUAAUACCGGAUGUCCUCCUCUGGUCGCAUGGCCUAAGGAGGAAAGGAAUUUUGCUUCGGGAGGGGCUCGCGGGCUAUCAGCUUGUUGGUGAGGUAACGGCUCACCAAGGCGACGACGGCUAGCUGGUCUGAGAGGACGACCAGCCACACUGGGACUGAGACACGGCCCAGACUCCUACGGGAGGCAGCAGUGGGGAAUCUUGCGCAAUGGGCGAAAGCCUGACGCAGCAACGCCGCGUGGGGGAUGAAUGCCUUCGGGUUGUAAACCCCUUUCAGCAGGGACGAAAAUGACGGUACCUGCAGAAGAAG
Molecule: ribosomal RNA, 411 nt
Filed under: uncultured bacterium
Lineage: Bacteria
Description: bacterial SSU rRNA
Rfam family: Bacterial small subunit ribosomal RNA
Source: RNAcentral